AUUGACACAAUCACGAAGAUUUACCGGUUUACAGUGGACUGGUUUGGGUUGGCAGCAAUGCUCUGAAAUGGUGCCCUAAAUCAAAAUGAGAUAAAAAUUCGUUGUCCAAUACGAUAAACAAAUAAAACCACAACUAUUAUUUAUGCUCUCUCUCGCUUGUAAAGAUGACGUAAUAUAUAUUUUCCCUAACCAAGUUGUGCAAGAGAGUGAAGGGACGUGACGUCAUGCUGCAAAUUAGCAUAUUGCGGAGUAUAAUACACUUUGAUUGACCAGCCCGCCUUUACUUGUGUUCGGCGCCAUCUGGAUUGAGAUUCAUCUGUAUCCAAUACACCUCCGAUCCUCUGCAAAGAUGUCUGACAAGCCAGAUCUUGCGGAAGUCUCCAACUUUGACAAGACCAAGUUGAAGAAGACCGAAACGCAGGAGAAAAACCCCUUGCCCACCAAAGAAACCAUUGAACAGGAGAAGCAAGCAACAGCAUGAAGCCCAAGCCUCCACUAUGCACUGUACAUUCCACGAGCAUUGCCUUUAUUUUCAUCUCCUUUUAGCUGUAUAACUGUAAUCAACACCUAAGUUGCAUUGUAAUUGGACAAAAGCAGAAGCCUGUACAGCCUCCUCCCUAGAACAACCCCCUCCCUCCCUCCCUUUUACAUAAAGUCUGAAAGGAAACAACUACUGACUGGCAGUCUGACUAGGAGGAUGUGUUGCUCGUCCCGACUCACUUCAGCGCUCUGUCACCUGUCCCUGCAUCCAGCCACUUGUGGUUGUGAUGGAUCAGCCCAACCAGGGACCCACACUUUUGACAGUCAGUGUAGUUCAGCUUCUGGCCACCUGUGAAAUGCUUUCAAAUCAAGCAGUGUUUUGUUUUUGUUACUUGUUCAAUUGUUUUGUAUAAGUUCAAUUCUUGGAAUGCACAAGUUUGUUUUGAUAUGCAAUUAAAAAAAAUGUAACUGUU
This is a non-coding RNA of Oncorhynchus mykiss (rainbow trout), 953 nucleotides long. The record is from RefSeq and is a predicted model, not a curated record. Lineage: Eukaryota; Metazoa; Chordata; Actinopteri; Salmoniformes; Salmonidae.